UACGUAGGGGGCUAGCGUUAUCCGGAUUUAUUGGGCGUAAAGAGCAUGUAGGCGGCCAGGUAGGUCUGCUGUGAAAACUCGAGGCUCAACCUCGAGACGUCGGCGGAAACCAUCUGGCUAGAGUCCGGAAGAGGAGAGUGGAAUUCCUGGUGUAGCGGUGAAAUGCGCAGAUAUCAGGAAGAACACCCGUGGCGAAGGCGGCUCUCUGGGACGGUACUGACGCUGAGACGCGAAAGCGUGGGGAGCGAACAGG
RNAcentral lists this ribosomal RNA (253 nucleotides) under uncultured bacterium. RNAcentral's name for it is "partial 16S ribosomal RNA". It matches the Rfam family "Bacterial small subunit ribosomal RNA", at positions 524 to 776 of the family's 1533-position model. The record is from RNAcentral.